GAUAACGUUACGCGGGUUUUUUGCAAUUGUAAACAUAUCUAUCAUAUCAAGUACUCGCUUCAUUAAACUGUGUUGCGGGUUGUAGUAAAUUGUUAGACGCUAAAAUUUUAAAACGGAAUUAAAUUAAGAGUUAUACGUUAUAUUGACUUUGGAUCUACAAUUAAACAUAAAGAAAUAGCGAUGGGAAUUUAGAUAAAACACCGGAUAAAUAGUAAUUGGAUAUUCGGAACUAGUACAAGCAGAACAAGGGCACAUACGCCUUCAUCACGAAACUUCUUUGUCUGCCGUACUUGCCUUCGGAGCACAUCGUCCCCGUGUUCGAGACAUUGGUCGGCCUAGCCAUGUCGCUAUUUGAGUAUGUGCGUCGAACUUGGAUCGAGGUGGAUGUGUGGCCCGUGCACAGUUGGUCUGUAUACGGACGCUUUUUCCGCACAAACAACGAUGUCGAAGGAAGUUUGCCACCAAAUUCCUGUCCUUCCUCCUCAUGCCAUUGCUUCCGCCGGGUGACGUCAAGAUCAAUAUUUUCUAUGGGAUGCUGCGACGUCGGUUUUUCCUCGUCGGUAGCCAUCUUACUGAUAUUGCGUCCAAC
Molecule: long non-coding RNA, 589 nt
Organism: Dreissena polymorpha
Lineage: Eukaryota; Metazoa; Mollusca; Bivalvia; Myida; Dreissenidae
Exons: 3
Source: RefSeq, a predicted model, not a curated record